This 450-nucleotide ribosomal RNA is filed under the name uncultured Fastidiosipila sp. RNAcentral's name for it is "bacterial SSU rRNA". It matches the Rfam family "Bacterial small subunit ribosomal RNA", at positions 930 to 1382 of the family's 1533-position model. Lineage: Bacteria; Bacillati; Bacillota; Clostridia; Eubacteriales; Oscillospiraceae. The record is from RNAcentral.
CAGUGGAGUAUGUGGUUUAAUUCGAAGCAACGCGAAGAACCUUACCAGGGCUUGACAUCCUCUGACGACAGUAGAGAUAUGUUUCCUUCGGGGACAGAGAGACAGGUGGUGCAUGGUUGUCGUCAGCUCGUGUCGUGAGAUGUUGGGUUAAGUCCCGCAACGAGCGCAACCCCUAUUGUCAGUUGCCAGCAUGUAAUGGUGGGCACUCUGGCGAGACUGCCGUUGACAAAAACGGAGGAAGGUGGGGACGACGUCAAAUCAUCAUGCCCCUUAUGUCCUGGGCUACACACGUACUACAAUGGCAACAACAGAGGGCAGCCAGGUCGCGAGGCCGAGCGAAUCCCAAAAUGUUGUCUCAGUUCAGAUUGCAGGCUGCAACUCGCCUGCAUGAAGUCGGAAUUGCUAGUAAUGGCAGGUCAGCAUACUGCCGUGAAUACGUUCCCGGGCCUU